GGGGAUUUAGCUGAGCAUCAUAAGCACCUGCCUUGCAAGCAGGAAGUAAUGAGUUUGAUCCCUG
Transfer RNA from Cavia porcellus (domestic guinea pig), 64 nucleotides. It matches the Rfam family "tRNA". Rfam says of the family: Transfer RNA (tRNA) molecules are approximately 80 nucleotides in length. The record is from Rfam. Lineage: Eukaryota; Metazoa; Chordata; Mammalia; Rodentia; Caviidae.